UCAGCAUUGACUUCGUCCUCUCACGAAACUCUGCCCAAUUAACUGUCGAUCGACGAAAGAGCCAGCAGCCAAUGGCGCCGUCUACCCCUUUGUGUGUGUCAGCGAGCAUCGCCGGGUGGAUCCUUCCCAGCGCCUGAGACCCUUCAGGAACUGGUAAAUAAACCCCCUGUG
Long non-coding RNA from Myotis brandtii (Brandt's bat), 171 nucleotides. RefSeq lists it as uncharacterized. The record is from RefSeq and is a predicted model, not a curated record. The transcript is spliced from 3 exons. Lineage: Eukaryota; Metazoa; Chordata; Mammalia; Chiroptera; Vespertilionidae.